Molecule: RNA transcript, 2904 nt
Organism: Homo sapiens (human)
Lineage: Eukaryota; Metazoa; Chordata; Mammalia; Primates; Hominidae
Gene: HSH2D
Gene name: hematopoietic SH2 domain containing
Exons: 8
Source: RefSeq, marked validated
GUCCUUCCCAAGACCACACCCAGGUCCAGUCAUUCCCUAGGACUUGGCAGAGAGCUGUACUCACAGCCAAGAUCACAGCAAAAUCAGCAAAGGGAAAAGGCAUGCAGAGUGAAGUCCAGAGGCAACCAGACAGAAGCAUCCAGAAUCCUCUCACAGUGGGGUCACACACCCCAUGCUUAACUCCCCCAACAAUGAGUUGUAACAACAGUCAGGUGUGGUGGUGUGUGCCUGUAGUCCCAGCUACUUGGGAGCCUGAGGCAGGAGGAUCACUUGAGUCCAGCAGUUCAAGACUGCAGUGAGCUAUGAUCAUACCACUGCACUCCAGCCUGAGUGACAGAGUGAAACUCUGUCUCUAAAAUAGGGCUCACCUGCUUGAGGAAACAGGAACUGCCUCGGGGCAGCCAGCCCCGCCCCAUUGACGUGCAGACCUUGAAUCGAAACCCAGGCUCCUGCAGGCACUGGCACAGCUACAGCGAGGGCCUCGGCCAUCCAAGGGUCUCCCAGGUGACCUUCCCUCCACCCCAGGAAGCUAUGACAGAGGCCGGGAAGCUGCCCCUACCGCUACCCCCACGGCUGGACUGGUUUGUGCACACCCAGAUGGGCCAGCUGGCCCAAGACGGGGUCCCCGAGUGGUUCCAUGGUGCAAUCUCAAGAGACAGCCUUGGAAGUGGAGUUUACUCUCCCCUUGAGGAAGCUGAAGGUCAGAAAGGGAGAGACGAUUGCCUGAGGUCACACAGCUGAUGGACAGUAGAGCUGGGUUAUGAACUCGAAUGCAUCUGAGCAUACAGGGAUGCUGAGAACUUGCUGGAGUCACAGCCACUGGGAUCCUUUCUCAUCAGGGUCAGUCACAGCCAUGUGGGCUACACACUCUCCUACAAGUAAGGCCUGGGCCGGGAUCCAGGGCAGGGGCAGGUGGGCUCUUGGGUUUCCUUGGAGGGGGCAAGGGGUGCUUCAUGUCAUAGCUUCUCAGAAAGCAGCAGUAACUGAGGCUGUGGAUCUGAGAACGGGAGCUGCUAGCCAAGCAAUGAGUGAAGCUUUUGUCCGUAGUGGCAUGUUUUAUCUGAGGCCAGCCUUUGUACUCCUGUGUUAUAAAUGGGGGAAACUGAGGCACAGCGAGGUUAGUAACCUGCUGGGUGUUGCAUGGCCAGUGAGUGAAGAAGCCUGCAUGGGAACCUGGGGUAGUCUGGCUGUAGCAGUGACGCUGCCGGCCCAAGGGCUGGGGACUUGGGGCAGGGAUGAGGGGGAGUAGGAUGUCCCAGCCCCCGCAGUGUCUCCGCAGAGCCCAAAGCAGCUGCUGCCAUUUCAUGGUGAAGCUCUUGGAUGAUGGGACUUUCAUGAUCCCCGGGGAGAAGGUGGCCCACACCUCGCUGGACGCCCUGGUCACCUUCCACCAGCAGAAGCCAAUUGAGCCGCGCAGGGAGCUGCUGACACAGCCCUGCAGGCAGAAGGAUCCCGCAAACGUGGAUUACGAGGAUCUCUUCCUCUACUCCAACGCAGUGGCCGAGGAAGCUGCCUGCCCGGUGUCUGCCCCUGAGGAGGCCUCCCCAAAGCCAGUCCUGUGUCACCAAUCAAAGGAAAGGAAGCCGUCAGCAGAGAUGAACAGAAUAACCACCAAGGAAGCCACUUCCUCCUGCCCCCCAAAAUCCCCUCUUGGAGAGACCCGCCAGAAACUCUGGAGGAGCCUCAAAAUGCUCCCCGAGAGAGGCCAGAGGGUCCGGCAGCAGCUAAAAAGCCACCUCGCCACUGUGAACUUGUCGUCACUCUUGGAUGUCCGGAGAUCCACGGUGAUCUCAGGCCCUGGGACCGGAAAAGGCAGCCAAGAUCACUCAGGGGAUCCCACCUCGGGGGACAGAGGCUACACGGAUCCCUGUGUGGCCACAUCUCUCAAAAGCCCCUCACAGCCCCAGGCACCAAAAGACAGAAAGGUCCCCACCAGGAAGGCCGAGAGGUCGGUCAGCUGCAUUGAGGUGACCCCAGGGGACAGGAGUUGGCACCAAAUGGUAGUGAGAGCCCUAUCCUCCCAGGAGUCCAAGCCAGAGCACCAGGGCUUGGCAGAGCCUGAGAACGACCAGCUCCCGGAGGAGUACCAACAACCGCCACCCUUUGCCCCUGGGUACUGCUAGAGAACAGGUCCACCCUGGCUCUGGGACUCGCUGCCAGGGGCUGCCACACUCCUGAAUGCCUUAACAUUUCUUCCAUGGCCCCACACCAUGGCAUCCGGGGGUCUUCGGGAACCCGGGAAAUGGAAUAAAGAUGUUUUUGGGGUCUGUUCCUGCACUCACCCAUGGGGUGAGCUGGUUAUUUUAGCAACAAUCAUCAGAGUGACGCUGAUGGUUUGGGGCACCAGCUAUACAUCAGCCCCAGUGCCAGACCUUCUAUUCAUUAUUUUACGCCUCAGAGCAAGGCCCUCAGGGAGGGUCAUCCUCCAUGUUUUGAAGAAGAGACUGAGGUUCAGAGAGGAUAAGAGGCGUGACCAAGGCCACAGAGCUAUGGGUGUCAGCACCAGGAUUUGAAGCCAGGUGAAUCCGAGCCCUUUUCCCAUAUCAUCUGUUUGUUCUGUUGUCUAAAAGCACACUGCAAGCCGGGCUCAGUGGCUCAUGCCUGUAGUCCCAGCACUCUGUGGGGCCGAGGCAGGCAGAUCGCUUGAGGUCAGGAGUUCGAGACCAGCCUGGCCAACAUGGUGAAACCCCGUCUAUACUAAAAAAUUCAAAAAUUACCCGGACGUGGUGGCGCAUGCCUGUAAUCCCAGCUACUUGGGAGCCUGAGGCGGGAGAAUUGCUUGAACCCGGGAGGCAGAGGUUGCAGUGAGCCGAGAUCGCAUCACUGCAGUCCAGCCUGGAUGACAGAGUGAGACUCCAUCUCAAAAAAUAAAUAAAUAAAUAAAAAUGAAAUUAAAAAAUAAAA